Molecule: small RNA, 29 nt
Filed under: Bombyx mori (domestic silkworm)
Lineage: Eukaryota; Metazoa; Arthropoda; Insecta; Lepidoptera; Bombycidae
Description: ovarian small RNA-20079
Source: RNAcentral
UACAACUUGUUUCGAUGACCUAUCUAAUG